This is a long non-coding RNA of Daphnia pulex (common water flea), 583 nucleotides long. RefSeq lists it as uncharacterized. The record is from RefSeq and is a predicted model, not a curated record. The transcript has 3 exons. Lineage: Eukaryota; Metazoa; Arthropoda; Branchiopoda; Diplostraca; Daphniidae.
CGACUUAAACACGCAUCUUCACGGUCACCUAAAAAUAAUAUACGUAUCACACGACCUUGAAUAGGUGGAGGACUUUGAUUGGGUAAAUGGACUUUCAGCUGAUUUUUAAUUUUCCAUACCAACAGCGAAAUAACUUGUGCGCAAUCUUACAACGAAACAAAAAUCCGCACUAUAUAAAGUGUUGGCUGUCACUUCGAUUUUCAAGCAGUCAUCGCUAAUUCUCCAAUCCAAUCCUCCAAGCAUCGCCCCCAUGUAGCACUCGAUUGCCACGGUCUUUGUCUCCUUGGCGGCCUACAUUUUAAUGGCCAAUGCACAGCAACCGACAAGCUGGACCAACCCAUACUUUUACUACCAUUACAACACCCAACUGGACCUGCCUACGUAGAAAGUCUCGGCCGAUGAAAAAGCAGGAAAUUAGCAGCAGCUAUUCACUAAUUACAACGAUCACAGUAUGCAAAACACGCUAGGAUCUCAUGUCGUACUGCUAACAACAUGCCUGAGGGAUCUGAAAACUACGAAAGCCGAUUUGGUUCACACACAUUCCGAGGUCGAAAAUGUUAAAAAGAAAUUGAAUAAGCUGAAA